GAUGAACGCUGGCGGCGUGCCUAAUACAUGCAAGUCGAGCGAACAGAUGAGGAGCUUGCUCCUCUGACGUUAGCGGCGGACGGGUGAGUAACACGUGGAUAACCUACCUAUAAGACUGGGAUAACUUCGGGAAACCGGAGCUAAUACCGGAUAAUAUAUUGAACCGCAUGGUUCAAUAGUGAAAGACGGUUUUGCUGUCACUUAUAGAUGGAUCCGCGCCGCAUUAGCUAGUUGGUAAGGUAACGGCUUACCAAGGCAACGAUGCGUAGCCGACCUGCGAGGGUGAUCGGCCACACUGGAACUGAGACAAGGUCCAGACUCCUACGGGAAGCAGCAGUAGGGAAUCUUCCGCAAUGGGCGAAAGCCUGACGGAGCAACGCCGCGUGAGUGAUGAAGGUCUUCGGAUCGUAAAACUCUGUUAUUAGGGAAGAACAAAUGUGUAAGUAACUAUGCACGUCUUGACGGUACCUAAUCAGAAAGCCACGGCUAACUACGUG
This 497-nucleotide ribosomal RNA is filed under the name uncultured bacterium. Its description in RNAcentral is "partial 16S ribosomal RNA". It matches the Rfam family "Bacterial small subunit ribosomal RNA", at positions 28 to 507 of the family's 1533-position model. The record is from RNAcentral.